Molecule: ribosomal RNA, 253 nt
Filed under: uncultured bacterium
Lineage: Bacteria
Description: partial 16S ribosomal RNA
Rfam family: Bacterial small subunit ribosomal RNA
Source: RNAcentral
UACAGAGGUCCCAAGCGUUGUUCGGAUUCACUGGGCGUAAAGGGUGCGUAGGUGGUUGGGUAAGUCUGAUGUGAAAUCUCUGAGCUUAACUCAGAAACUGCAUUGGAUACUAUCCGGCUGGAGGAGUGGAGGGGGGACUGGAAUACUUGGUGUAGCAGUGAAAUGCGUAGAUAUCUGGAGGAACACCGGUGGCGAAGGCGGCAUCCUGGACCGGCAUUGACGCUGAGGCGCGAAAGCCAGGGGAGCAAACGGG